Molecule: ribosomal RNA, 465 nt
Filed under: Vreelandella stevensii
Lineage: Bacteria; Pseudomonadati; Pseudomonadota; Gammaproteobacteria; Oceanospirillales; Halomonadaceae
Description: partial 16S ribosomal RNA
Rfam family: Bacterial small subunit ribosomal RNA
Source: RNAcentral
CCUACGGGGGGCAGCAGUGGGGAAUAUUGGACAAUGGGAGGAACCCUGAUCCAGCCAUGCCGCGUGUGUGAAGAAGGCCCUCGGGUUGUAAAGCACUUUCAGUGAGGAAGAACGCCUGGUGGUUAAUACCCAUCAGGAAAGACAUCACUCACAGAAGAAGCACCGGCUAACUCCGUGCCAGCAGCCGCGGUAAUACGGAGGGUGCGAGCGUUAAUCGGAAUUACUGGGCGUAAAGCGCGCGUAGGUGGCUUGAUAAGCCGGUUGUGAAAGCCCCGGGCUCAACCUGGGAACGGCAUCCGGAACUGUCAAGCUAGAGUGCAGGAGAGGAAGGUAGAAUUCCCGGUGUAGCGGUGAAAUGCGUAGAGAUCGGGAGGAAUACCAGUGGCGAAGGCGGCCUUCUGGACUGACACUGACACUGAGGUGCGAAAGCGUGGGUAGCAAACAGGAUUAGAUACCCUGGUAGUC